GCUUUUCUGUUUAAGGAAUUGCCUGGACCAAUUCUGUAUAUUCUGUAUUCUCUGCAAUUAGAGCCACUGCAUUUCCUGCUACUUUUUUAAAAAAAAGCUUUAGUUCUUAGGGUUUAUCCUCCAUCUUCUUAGGUCAGAAGAUGCUCUGAAGUGCCCUGCCUAUUGGUCUUCCUCCCCUCUCUUUGCCAUGGGGAGCAUACACACAUUUCCUGGGGAUGUACACAGAACACAAACUCUGAGAUCUGCAGAAGUAUCAGAGGUUUUCAUAUUCCCUAUGUUCAUCUUGUUCUCCAUAAUCCCUUCUAUAUGCCUGGCUAGACUGCUGUUUGCUAUGAUCAAAUCAAGCCAUAGACUUAGGCAGCUGCAAUAUUGUCAAGAGAAAGAUAUUUCCUUGGCAGUCCUCUAAAGGUAGGGCUUUUUUCUUCUUAACGAACUGAGUAUGGUGCUGAAUUGAAUAGCCACAGGACCUGGGCAUAGCGAUUUCUCUGGUAGGUGGAAGUUCAGACAAUGUAUUUACUGUGCUCUGGAGAUGUGUUCUUAUUGGAAUUUCAGGAGAGUUCAGUCAUCCUUUUUGGCUGUAGGAAUACUUGCUUUCCAUGGUUACCACACUCCUGAGGAGGGGGUGAAGGGAUAUAGGAAUAGUCCCAAGUUAAAAGGAGGUUAUGUUAUGAAGUUUCAGUGGGUUCUCUUAGAUAGUAUGUACUUUCAUUUCAGUGAAGAAUGAAGACUAAUAGGCCAGCCUGUAGGACUUCCACAGGUCUGCACUAUUAAAUGUUUCUUAAACUGUGCACCUUAACUACCUUCAAGUUCUAUUAUUUUCUCUCCAAACUUUAGUCUUAUCAGGGUUUUAUUUGCUAAGAUAUUACUUUUCAUGACUAAUUAGAAAUAAUGCUGAACAUUUUAUAAUGUGGCUUCCAGAAACAGAUUGAAUAUGUUAGGGCUCCAAGGUGACAUAAUUUAAGUUUAUAUCAGAAUACAGAUUUAAAAGUGUUUGUACAAAAUAUAAGACUUUUAAAACUGAGAAACACUGAAACAAAAUGAAGCAGGCUGUGUAAUACAGGGCACUUGGUAUUUAGCUCAAAAGGGCAUUUUACAAGCUGGUUAAAGUUAAAUCCUUUAUCUAUAGAAGUAUUGACUACUUCCCAAAUCAACCAUUCAUCAAUAUGUCCAGACGUUUCCAACAAAGAGUGUGCAAUGGAUUUAACUUUCCUUCUGUUCAAAUUGCUAGCACAGGAUCAAUGAAAACCAAUUGCUCUUUGUCAGAAGUACAAGAUAACAAAAUAACUGAGAGUUACAGCCAUCUUCAGUCAACUGGUUAAUUAUUUGUAUUUUGGUUCCUUUUUAAUUUUGAAUUUUCUCUGGAGUGAAAUCUUGCUCUAUAUUUUCCUCCAGUGAUGUGCUCUACCCUAGUGAUUUCCAGAAGGUAAGAGUAAAUCAAACCAAUUAUAAUUAGUGCUCUUUUGAGCCCAGAAAUCAUUAGAGAUAGCAAGAGGGAAACUUUCCUGAACUCCUAUCUGCUCAUUCCACAAGCUCUCGUGCCUGUUUUUAUAAUAGGCUCAUUAUCAAAGAUGGUAAAUGGACCUUUAACUUCAAUUAAUCCCUGUUGUUCACUUGACUGUGUUCAUCCUGUAAACUAAGGAGCUGAGCUGAUUAAAAAUUUGCUUAGUUAGGUAUGUCAUAAUUUCCUUUCCAAACUUUUUUUCCUACUUUGCUCCAAAUUGCCCUUAAGCAGGCAGCCACAUCCAGCGAGUUGGAUGUCAUUCACUUGGGUUGAAAAUGACAUAACAAAAAGAGACACCAGGCUGGUGUGGGGACCGGGAAGGAUAGUAGUCACAAAUAGUAGCAAACAUGAGGUCAGGGUCUUAGAAGAGCUUCCCUGAAAAUAGACUCUGAGAUGCGAAUGCUGUGCAAAAGGCUUUCUGUACCAUGAUCAGAGUAGAUAAACCUUUAGUGAAGUGAGAAGUUGGAGUUAGGCAAAAGGAAAGCUGACCUGCAAUGUGGUCUCCACUAAGGCCCUCACCAAGCCAUGGGAAGCUCUUGAGCUAGGACCAUCCUUACAUGGACCAAGCCUCUGUUCCUCUGUGUCAGCUUGCUUGGUGGUGGCAUAACUGUGGACAUGAACUUUCCUACAGCUAAGAGUAACACCCAGUAAUAGAUACAGCUGUGAACUCUCAGCAUCCAGGAAUCCCCGCAGCUGGGAUGUGUGCGUGUGGACUAUGGAAGGGAUCCUGGUUGGACUUCCAGAGAAUCUGCUGUAGUCAGUCAAUUAGGCAGGCUUAGGGUUAGGGGGUGUACAGUGUGGUUUUUAUGUCACUAGAAGUGCCGUGAUUAAACUAGCACUGCUAAGCUUUUAUGGCCAUGAGGGAAGAUUUGAUGGUGUAAUGGCAUCCAUGUAUCUUCAAAAUGAGUGUUUUUCAGCCCAGACCCCAAAUAGGCAAUGGCUUUUCCCAUUAGAAGCUACGAACUAUAGCCCUUUGCAUCAUCACAAACUGAAGAUGAUGGAAGUCAGGGCAACAAUCAUUUGGGUAAAUGGGCAGGGAGAAAAAUUAUGUGGAACCAAGGCACAGAGAGAAGGGUGUUUUUGUCUUUCCUGAGUUUUACAUAAAGCGGGAAGCUGACUUUUCAUAAAGCAUUUGGGGAAAUCUAACUACCGUCAGAAUUUUGAUCAUAAAAGUUAGAUUCUCUAAGUUCUUUGGAUCUUCCUUGCCCAGUAGCAGCAGUGCUGGUUACACGGCCAUGCUCCUACUAUGGACAGUACAAAAUGUAAGCAAAACACAAAACAAAUCUUUUCGAAGGUCAUAGAGGAGACAACUAAGCUUAAAGACCAGGACCUGGGAGAGGAGGAAAGCAUGUUGAGAGGGGUCCAUCAUUCCAGAGGGAUUUUCCAUUGAGGAUGUGACAGGUCCUAAGUGUCACAGGGCUGAAAGGCUCUGAAGCCAAGGAGAAAGCAGUGACUUUUGGUUGGGAAACCUGAUUCUUUUUUUUUUUUCUUUUUAGGGCCACAUCCGUGGCAUAUGGAGGUUCCCAGCUCCAAUUGGAACUACAACUGCCGGCCUACGCCAGAGCCACAGCAACGCU
Molecule: long non-coding RNA, 3078 nt
Filed under: Sus scrofa (pig)
Lineage: Eukaryota; Metazoa; Chordata; Mammalia; Artiodactyla; Suidae
Description: lncRNA (ENSSSCG00000061124.1)
Source: RNAcentral